RNAcentral lists this transfer RNA (68 nucleotides) under Dolichovespula flora. RNAcentral describes it as "tRNA-Tyr". RNAcentral also lists the same sequence under 1 other name. The record is from RNAcentral. Lineage: Eukaryota; Metazoa; Arthropoda; Insecta; Hymenoptera; Vespidae.
AAUACUAUGUCUGAUUAAAGUAAUAAAUUGUAAAUUUAUUUAAGAAAAUAUUAAUUUUUCUAGUAUUA